UAGAAUUCAUGUAAUGCGAGGAACGUAUCAUUCAAAUGAUAACGAUGUAGGUACUCAAAUAAAAGAAGUUCACAUUCGAUUAAGCGAAUGGAAUUAGCACGUCUUUAGUGAAAGUUUCGUUUGAAUUAAAAUCUAAUUUCCUUUUCUUCCAAUAAAUAAAAUUCUAUUCUACUUCCUGUUUAUUCCAACUUGCUACAUUAUUCAGUCAAUUCAUAUUUAAUAUGUUUUACAACACACCCGUUGAAUUUUCAGAACGUCCCAUUAACAGUUUGAGAAUUAUAAAACUAUAUUACUAAGAAUUUCAUUGGCCGUUCUUUCUACUUAAAAUGAUUCACUCAAAGAAACCAGAGGCUACGCCUAUGCAUGCUCAUAACGCGUACAAUGUCAUAAUUCGUAUCCAGACGAUGUGGCGGGUUAAAUUGUCGACCGGAUAAUUCGUCAUAGUGUAUAAUAUUUAAAGUAACGCGAGUGCCAUUUCCGGUCCCAUGUAUUCUCAGUAUCGAUCAUCGAUCACGUCUAUCAGGUCGUGCACGGACGAUCUGUGUCGGAGGAAACCGACACGCCCACGCACACUGGCGCAACCGAACAGGUCUUGCCGAUCAUAUCCGCGGUAAUGACGUUUAAAAACCUGAUUUGAAGUGUAGAAUCAUACCAGCCCUACGAUAUACCAACACUACGACAUACCAACCUAUAUACGAUAGGAACGCUACAAGAGAAUUUCAUCCAAAGCAACGAAACGUAGAACGACUACUAUCCAUCCUGAAAACGUUCCUCCGCGAAGCAAGUCAAAAUGUAUCGAUCGAUCAAUUACCAAUAUGCUAAACCAAUAAAAACGGAACGUAACACGAACGAAGCGCUAUGACGAUGUUUAUUUGUUUAUUAAUAAGUCUGCCCCCAGGAUGAGGACAAUCGAGGCAUGAUUAUAUAAACUCAAUAAAAGAGACGCCACGUGCUGGCGUACGGCUCGUACGUAAUAUCACUUUCACGGUACAAGCUAAAUCCGUUGCUGCCCGGUAAAUCAAUGAACCGAACUUAGGAGUAUAUGCUUUGGAUAAAUGUUCGUAACAUGUGGGACACACGUUGUUAGUUAUUUAGUUCUAUUAGACGAGAAAAAGAAGAAGAAAAAAGAAGUGCAUACACGGCAGUGCACUUCAUUGCUCAAUGACAAAAGCUUGUUAGUGAAGCUUCACCGAGCUCCUAUUCGUUGGCCUUUUAGGACGACGAUACGUCAGCGGCAGAAAGCGAGCAACGUCACCGGAGGUACAUUGACAUUUUUCGGAGACUAUACAAGGUUAAUCUCUAAUCGACAAAAGAAUCGCCCUAAUUAACCUUUACAUGAAUCCUUAUAGCUGGAUUAUGAAUAUUUAUAAAUGUAUGACAAAUUUAAAGAUGCUAAAAUAUAUACGUACAUACACAAUAUACAAAAAUAUUGGAAAUAUUCAAAGUUCACAAAAAUAUGAAUUUGUAUAAAUAUCUGUAGUUUGAUUAUAAACGUUCCUUCUUCACCAGGAUAGAUUUUGGCAAUUAUUUAAUAGGAUGGAUUAAAAGAUGCAGAGGUUCUACCAACAGAUACUGAAUGGAGUUAGAGAUAAUUAAUAUGAUAUGUAUAAUGAAUGUAAAUAUACAA
Molecule: long non-coding RNA, 1627 nt
Organism: Bombus impatiens (common eastern bumble bee)
Lineage: Eukaryota; Metazoa; Arthropoda; Insecta; Hymenoptera; Apidae
Exons: 3
Source: RefSeq, a predicted model, not a curated record